This 30-nucleotide non-coding RNA is filed under the name Rattus norvegicus (Norway rat). Lineage: Eukaryota; Metazoa; Chordata; Mammalia; Rodentia; Muridae. The record is from RNAcentral.
UUUUCUUGUAUGAAGGAUGGUUUUGCUUGU